This 265-nucleotide ribosomal RNA is filed under the name uncultured archaeon. Its description in RNAcentral is "partial 16S ribosomal RNA". It matches the Rfam family "Archaeal small subunit ribosomal RNA", at positions 714 to 982 of the family's 1478-position model. The record is from RNAcentral.
AGACGUCUACAUUAGAUACCCCCCGUAGUCCCAGCCGUAAACUAUGCGCGUUAGGUGUAUCGGUGACCACGAGUUACCGAGGUGCCGAAGGGAAACCGUGAAACGUGCCGCCUGGGAAGUACGGUCGCAAGGCUGAAACUUAAAGGAAUUGGCGGGGAGCACCACAACAGGUGGAGCCUGCGGUUUAAUUGGACUCAACGCCGGGAAGCUCACCGGAUAGGACAGCAGAAUGAUUGCCGGGCUGAAGACCCUGCAUGACUAGCUG